GGCCCCCCGUGAUGCCAGCACUGGGCUCUGAGCUCCAUGGUGACAAACACGGUGCCCCAGCCUUGGACUUCUGGGUCUGAGGGGGCC
Sarcophilus harrisii (Tasmanian devil) is the source of this 87-nucleotide small nucleolar RNA. Lineage: Eukaryota; Metazoa; Chordata; Mammalia; Dasyuromorphia; Dasyuridae. The record is from Ensembl.